AAGUUCAAUUUCAAAUUGUUUCAAAAGAACGAGUAUUCUUGGUUAAGGUCGGUGCCUGGAAAUGCUUAUGAAGCGAACUGCGUUAUGUGUCGGAAGAAUUUCAAACUUGGGACAAUGGGGAUCAGAACGGUGGAAUCGCACGUGCAGAGCAAAAAACACAGAGACUAUGUAAAGGCACGCCAGCAGCCUGCAAUUGCUAGUUUCCGCUCCACCAUUUCCACCGCUAGCAACGAUGUCAACGCUACAACACUGGAUGUUACGAUAGGAAAUCCACAGCCAACAAUGCCAUCUGACCUCUCCGAGCAGAGGUGAUUUGGGUGCUGAGGACUGUGACAAGCCACCAUUCAUACAGGUCUAAUGACGGGAUUAAAGAAGUGUUCAAAUCAAUGUUUCCAGAUUCGGGGCUUGUACAGUCAUUUACCUGUGGAAAAGACAAGAACAA
Molecule: long non-coding RNA, 442 nt
Organism: Sander lucioperca (pikeperch)
Lineage: Eukaryota; Metazoa; Chordata; Actinopteri; Perciformes; Percidae
Exons: 3
Source: RefSeq, a predicted model, not a curated record